RNAcentral lists this ribosomal RNA (448 nucleotides) under uncultured bacterium. Its description in RNAcentral is "partial 16S ribosomal RNA". It matches the Rfam family "Bacterial small subunit ribosomal RNA", at positions 29 to 523 of the family's 1533-position model. The record is from RNAcentral.
AACGAACGCUGGCGGCAUGCCUAACACAUGCAAGUCGAACGAGACCUUCGGGUCUAGUGGCGCACGGGUGCGUAACGCGUGGGAAUCUGCCCUUGGGUUCGGGAUAACAGUUGGAAACGACUGCUAAUACCGGAUGACGUCUUCGGACCAAAGAUUUAUCGCCCAGGGAUGAGCCCGCGUCGGAUUAGCUAGUUGGUAGGGUAAAAGCCUACCAAGGCGACGAUCCGUAGCUGGUCUGAGAGGAUGAUCAGGCACACUGGGACUGAGACACGGCCCAGACUCCUACGGGAGGAAGCAGUGGGGAAUAUUGGACAAUGGGCGAAAGCCUGAUCCAGCAAUGCCGCGUGAGUGAUGAAGGCCUUAGGGUUGUAAAGCUCUUUUACCCGGGAUGAUAAUGACAGUACCGGGAGAAUAAGCCCCGGCUAACUCCGUGCAGCAGCCGCCGUAA